AUGGAUGAGAGCCAAAAAUCUCCUGCCGUCUUCCCUCUGGUUCCUUGCUGUGGCUCCACCAAUGAAGAAAAACAGGGAAGCAUAAUCUUUGGCUGUCUGGCUACUGGAUAUUUUCCAGGCAACGCAGAAAUCACAUGGGAACCGCACGUUGCAAGUGGAAUAAAGCUAUUCCCACAAGUCUCCCGGGCUACACUCCAGCAGCAAUACAGCAUGAGCAGUCAGUUCACAGUGCCUUCUGCGGACUUUGAAAAGAACACUUAUACGUGCAUCGUAAAGCACCCUGCUAUUACAGAUCGACAGGGUCGACAAAAGCGCAUCGAAAAGAGAGACUGUGUUGAAAGAAAUCCAGAGCCCAUUCAAGUUCGCCUAUUAACCCCUGGCUGUGAUGCGGAGAACACGGAGAUCAAUCUGGAACUCGUAUGCAUCCUUUUGGGUUCUGGCCAUGGUGAAGUCGAAGUGGAGAGCCUGAUCAAUGGUGUCGUGGUGCGACCAAAAGUCAAGGUGAUCCUCAGUGGGAAACAAGGCAGUGGUUACUCCAGCUACAUCAAGCAAAACAUCACCAAAAAGAGCUGGAACGAAGGAGACCGCUACACGUUCCGAGUGACUCGCCUUCCAGGCAUCCGGAACAUCGAACUGUACAACACCAGCAAAUGCGAAGCUUGUCACAAGUCAAUGCAAGCACCCACCGUCUCCAUCACCAAACCAUCCUACAGAGAUCUGGUCGAAGGGACAGCCGCUGUCACCUGCCUUGUGGAGGGCUCCUUCCUGGGAAAUAUCCAGAUCACCUGGACUGUGAACAGCAGGCCUAGUCCCAAGCCGCAGGCUGAAAUCGUGAAGACGCAAUCUGGUGGGCACACGAACGCACAAAGUAGCCACUCAGUAUCACUCGAGCAAUGGAAAAAGGGCACCACCUUUCAGUGCAAAGUAGCCACCAUGUGCUUAGAGGAAAUCACCAAAGAAGUCACCAUCAAACAGGAAGCACAUAUAACAACCGCCACACCUAUCGUCACCAUCUCCCAUACCUGCCGUGAAGAAUCUUCCAACAGCACCAUUGGCCAGAUUCUUGUGUGUGAUGUGAGUGGUUUUUCCCCAAUGGAAAUCAGCAUCUCUUGGAAGAAGAACAGCACACUUCUGAACUCAUCUCUGUAUGACAAUGGGCCAGUGGUGCCUUCUGGGAUUGGUUACGUCACUUACAGCAUCCUGAAGAUUGGCAGGAGUGAAGGAGGGAAUGGGAGAGACGUCUACACCUGUGUGGUCCACCAUUCCUCUUCUCCCAAGCCAAUCACUGCUGACAAAAUGGUAUCCUCUGGUUGUGAAGGUCCAAAUGCGCAAAUUCAUGUGGAGACCAUCCCACCAUCUUUCGACGAUAUUUACCAGACCAAGUCGGCCAAGCUGACCUGCAGAAUCUCCAACGUGCCCUUUGCUGAGGAUCUCGGCGAGCUGAAUGUCACCUGGACACGAGAGCGUGACAGCACACCAUUGGAGACCAUAACUGGUCAGCCUAAAGAACAAGAAAACAGAGAACUUGCAUUUGUGGAUGCAACCGCCACCGUUUGCCUAGAGGAAUGGGAGAGUGGGGAUAACUACCUGUGCAAAGUUAGACAUCCCCAACUUGCUAGCAUUGAAACGAAAUCUUUGAAGAAACAGAACGGUGGCAGUCGCAGCCCUCCAUCCGUCUAUGUCCUGCCCCCACCCGCGGAGCAACUGGCUUUGCGGGAGACAGCGACCGUCACUUGCCUGCUGAAAGACUUCUACCCCAACGACAUCUUUGUGAGAUGGAUGCGGAACGAUGAGCCUGUGGCGCCUUCAGAGUACUACACGCUUCUGGCCAACCCUGCGAUGCGGGAAUCCAAGAGUAGAAGCGGUAGCAAAGCCUCUACAGCUGCGUUGAGCGUCCAAGAGCAGGACUGGAGUUAUGGAGCCACUUACGCCUGCGUGGUGGCCCACCAGCUUCUCUGUUCUUUCUCGACUCCUAAAGAAACUGAUUUUCAUUUAUCAUCCAAAGCUUACCUUGAUGGGAUUGUAGACAUCGUUGACGACGAAGGACUCCUAAACCUCUCAUCCAUCCUUUCCACUUUCAUCAUCCUCUUCCUCGUGAGCAUUUUCUACGGCGCCACCGUGACUGUCAUCAAGGUAAAAUGA
Molecule: non-coding RNA, 2142 nt
Organism: Sphaerodactylus townsendi
Lineage: Eukaryota; Metazoa; Chordata; Lepidosauria; Squamata; Sphaerodactylidae
Source: the annotation of a RefSeq genome assembly